Cynara cardunculus var. scolymus (artichoke) is the source of this 409-nucleotide long non-coding RNA. RefSeq lists it as uncharacterized. Lineage: Eukaryota; Viridiplantae; Streptophyta; Magnoliopsida; Asterales; Asteraceae. The record is from RefSeq and is a predicted model, not a curated record. The transcript is spliced from 3 exons.
ACUUAUAAAACGAGAUCGUGAGACGAACACAUCCACACAACAAACCAUGGGGGAAACCACCGGUACCGUUCUUGGUGAGGUUCGUUGUGUCGCAUAUCUUCAGAAAUGAUAGAUUUGCAACCUCAAUGUUUAUAGCGCAUUUCGAAAGGGCAUAGCAUAUAAGAAGGUGAAUCCAUGGAGGGCCACCAGUGUGACGAGCAUGAUGCUAAAUAUGUCCGAAGAAGAAGAACAAAACAAAUGAAGCGUGUCUUAAAGCAGCACGAUCUGAAUAAAAAUGCAAUUUUAUGAAAUAAGGCGUUAGAUGCUCUUCGACGUUUGAUUUUAUAUGUUACUUAAUAAGUUGUUUCUUCAUUUUAUUUGAACAAUGAUUGAUGUGCGAGAAGCAAUCUUACAGAAUUUCAAUCAUCGA